RNAcentral lists this long non-coding RNA (1111 nucleotides) under Sorghum bicolor (sorghum). Its description in RNAcentral is "long non-coding RNA (SBIC_LNC001965)". The record is from RNAcentral. Lineage: Eukaryota; Viridiplantae; Streptophyta; Magnoliopsida; Poales; Poaceae.
UCAAUUUUGGGGUGCUAGCGCCCCAUUAGACCGUAGCAUCCGUUCGAGUUCGACGGUUUCCGCCUAUCGCACGUGCUACCGCUAGGAAAAAAUCGAUUCAAGGAUGUGAAAAGAAUAAGGAAUAAAAUAUGAUCCUGAUGUAAAUAUACAAGAGAAGAGAAAGAAAGUAUAAAAGUAGCUAGGACGAUUUAAAAAUAGGUCAGAAUUUUCUGAUGAAAAAUUGUCUUGUAUAUUCAUGAUGCAAUCGAAAUAAAAACUACACUGCCAAUUGCUGCAAAGAUAAGCUCGAAGUUGAGUAACUACCACCUCCUUUAAUUUCUCCACACAUUCUCUGUAUUCAGAGACGACCUUCAGUCUUUGUGGUGAUCAAUAAAUAGCUACGGAGGAUCGGAUGCAACUGGUCACUAUUUGGUCAAAAUGUUCCUUUCAACUACAGCUAGCUCCCAUGUGGACAUGGCAUGACAAGCCUCCACCUCGCCAUCGACACACAUAUAUAUGUUGUUCUCGUCUACAAAUCAAGGUUUUGUUUAGUUUCACCUGAAAUUUAAUUUUUUUUAAAAUUUACCGUCACAUCGAAUCUUGCAAUACAUACAUGAAGCAUUAAAUAUAAAUAAAAAAAAAUAACUAAUUGUAAAAUUUAUUUAUAAAUCAUAAUAUAAAUCUAGCUAAAUCAAAAAAAAAUUGGAACUUAACAAGAUCUAAGCCAAAUCACUGUCGGUCAUUCAACCGGCGGCAAGGCAUCCGGCGAGGCUUCAUCAACGGGCGACGGAUAAGUAGGGUACGAGUUGGAUCGAGCUUCUUGCCUACUUAUAUAAAUCGUGGGCUAAAGACCAUUAGGCUCAAUUUCCGUGCAUACUGGACCGGGCCAACAUUUGGUGACGGGUGCUUUGCCUUUGUGACCCAAAACUCCCAAAUCCCAAGCCCAUGUUGGCGACACUAAAAUUCAGAGAGCCUAUGUAAAGUUUUUGCACUAGAAAAUCUAUAAUUCUUAUAAAGCUAAACUCCACUAGAUAAAUUCUCUCUUCAUGUAAAGUGUCAACAUCAUUCUCCACUAAGUGACCCAAUAAAUAUUUUAUUUCUCCACGCAAGAUGUCCACAUCAUUCUCCACUA